CGAAGGAGGCUAGCGUUGUUCGGAAUUACUGGGCGUAAAGCGCGCGCAGGCGGUUCUUCAAGUCAGAGGUGAAAGCCCAGAGCUCAACUCUGGAAUGGCCUUUGAGACUAGAGAACUAGGGUACGGGAGAGGUGAGUGGAAUUCCGAGUGUAGAGGUGAAAUUCGUAGAUAUUCGGAAGAACACCAGUGGCGAAGGCGGCUCACUGGCCCGUUACCGACGCUCAGGCGCGACAGCGUGGGGAGCAAACAGGAUUAGAUACCCUGGUAGUCCACGCCGUAAACGAUGGAUGCUAGCCGUUGGUAAGCAUGCUUAUCAGUGGCGCAGCUAACGCAUUAAGCGUCCCGCCUGGGGAGUACGGCCGCAAGGUUG
This 370-nucleotide ribosomal RNA is filed under the name uncultured organism. Its description in RNAcentral is "bacterial SSU rRNA". It matches the Rfam family "Bacterial small subunit ribosomal RNA", at positions 526 to 896 of the family's 1533-position model. The record is from RNAcentral.